This 183-nucleotide ribosomal RNA is filed under the name Goniomonas pacifica. Its description in RNAcentral is "partial Bacterial small subunit ribosomal RNA". It matches the Rfam family "Bacterial small subunit ribosomal RNA", at positions 1340 to 1531 of the family's 1533-position model. Lineage: Eukaryota; Cryptophyceae; Goniomonadida; Goniomonadaceae. The record is from RNAcentral.
AGUUGCAGGUCAGCAUACUGCGGUGAAUACGUUCCCGGGCCUUGUACACACCGCCCGUCAAGCCAUGGAAGCCGGGAGUGCCUGAAGUCCGUCACCGCAAGGAGCGGCCUAGGGCAAAAUCGGUAACUAGGGCUAAGUCGUAACAAGGUAGCCGUACCGGAAGGUGCGGCUGGAUCACCUCCU